GGAUCCACCCCUUCUGAAGUCUCUUGUUGUCUUCCUCCCUCAAGAGAUGUCUGCCCUAUUUUCCACUUGUUUGGAAACUAUCUCCCCUGUCUGGUGUCCUUGCAGCUGUGCAUCUGUCAGUCUGUGCUGGAUGAGUACCUUCUCACUGCCAAAGUAGUUGGAGGGACAUCAAACACCAGUGAUGGGAACACUGAACCUCACAUAAGGGGCAAUGCAGCAUCUCUGCCUUCUUCUGGGUAUUCCUCUUAAAUGGCUUGACAAUAACCACCAACCAGCACUGCCAUACAUGUGUCCUGUACCUAUCAGAGGCACUAGGGCAGUUUUGGAACAGAGAGCCCAUAGAAAGGCUACUGCUUAGAGAUAGCCAUUUUCUUCUUGGAGCUGGACCAGUGAAUUAGACGCAUGGAGGAGAGCUGGAAAAUCCCUUUUUGGAAGAGCUACACAAAACCAAAAUUUGGAAUUCGUAGCUAAUAACCAUAAAAAUUAAGAAAUGACUGUUGGAAGAGCACUGGAAAUCACCUGAUUAAGUUAAGAAAAACUAACUAGCUCAUGAGAAAAUUAUUUUCAGGCCAGCUGUAGCCUGUACCCUUUUGAAAAUCCCCUGACUAGUGAGUUCAUUUUUGUUGGAAUAUAGAAUUUUUCUUUUCUAAGCAGAUGUAAACUUGUCUUUCUGUGGUUGGCUUUGGAGCCCACAAGAUAAUUAAAUGGCAGUGCUAACUGAAAGCCUGGGCUGUGCUUAUAGGUUCAAGAGGCAGGUAGAAGACACUGGGUUGGGGAAGUAGGGCUAUGGAACUGUGGCUCUGGCUAAGAUUACUAAUGUCUGUGAGCGCUGGAAGAAGGGAAAUAGAAAUGAAAAAACAUGAAUAUGGUUGAUGGGCCAGACUGAGUGUUGAGGUCCUAUGAUGUAUCAAAGAAUGGCUUACAUGAAAGUUAUAAGGUGUGGA
This 944-nucleotide long non-coding RNA is filed under the name Homo sapiens (human). Its description in RNAcentral is "non-protein coding lnc-SLC9C1-2:3". Lineage: Eukaryota; Metazoa; Chordata; Mammalia; Primates; Hominidae. The record is from RNAcentral.